CAGCCGCCGCGGGAAUACGGAGGGUGCAAGCGUUAUCCGGAUUCACUGGGUUUAAAGGGUGCGUAGGCGGGCAGGUAAGUCAGUGGUGAAAUCUUCGAGCUUAACUCGGAAACUGCCGUUGAUACUAUCUGUCUUGAAUAACGUUGAGGUGAGCGGAAUAUGUCAUGUAGCGGUGAAAUGCUUAGAUAUGACAUAGAACACCGAUUGCGAAGGCAGCUCACUAAACGCUCAUUGACGCUGAGGCACGAAAGCGUGGGGAUCAAACAGGAUUAGAUACCCGUGUAGUCCCUGUCUCUUAUAC
This 301-nucleotide ribosomal RNA is filed under the name uncultured bacterium. RNAcentral describes it as "partial 16S ribosomal RNA". It matches the Rfam family "Bacterial small subunit ribosomal RNA", at positions 509 to 807 of the family's 1533-position model. The record is from RNAcentral.